GAUGAACGCUGGCGGCAUGCCUAAGACAUGCAAGUCGAACGAGAUGGCCCAGUGAAGGUUGAGUGCUUGCACGAGACUGAAUCUGGAUUCCCAUCUAGUGGCAGACGGGUGAGUAACACGUGGGUGACCUACCUUUUCGUUGGGGAUAACAGUUGGAAACGAUUGCUAAUACCGAAUAAAAUGUAAGAGUCAAUUUUACAUUGAAAGGAGCCUUUAAAGCUUCGCGAUUAGAUGGGCCUGCGGCGUAUUAACUAGUUGGUGAGGUAAUGGCUUACCAAGGUGACGAUGCGUAGCCGAACUGAGAGGUUGAUCGGCCACAUUGGGACUGAGACACGGCCCAAACUCCUACGGGAGACAGCAGUUAGGAAUAUUCGUCAAUGGAGGAAACUCUGAACGAGCAAUGCCGCGUGAGUGAUGAAGGUCUUAUAGAUUGUAAAACUCUGUUGUAUGGAAAAAACGGCUAGGUUAGGAAAUGAACUUAGUGUGAUGGUACCAUACCAGAAAGC
Molecule: ribosomal RNA, 506 nt
Filed under: uncultured bacterium
Lineage: Bacteria
Description: bacterial SSU rRNA
Rfam family: Bacterial small subunit ribosomal RNA
Source: RNAcentral